GAUGAACGUUGGCGGCAUGCUUUACACAUGCAAGUCGAACGGUAACAGGCCGCAAGGUGCUGACGAGUGGCGAACGGGUGAGUAAUGCAUCGGAACGUGCCCAGUCGUGGGGGAUAACGCAGCGAAAGCUGUGCUAAUACCGCAUACGAUCUAUGGAUGAAAGCGGGGGACCGUAAGGCCUCGCGCGAUUGGAGCGGCCGAUGUCAGAUUAGGUAGUUGGUGGGGUAAAGGCUCACCAAGCCGACGAUCUGUAGCUGGUCUGAGAGGACGACCAGCCACACUGGGACUGAGACACGGCCCAGACUCCGACGGGAGGCAGCAGUGGGGAAUUUUGGACAAUGGGCGCAAGCCUGAUCCAGCAAUGCCGCGUGCAGGAAGAAGGCCUUCGGGUUGUAAACUGCUUUUGUACGGAACGAAAAGGCUCUGGUUAAUACCUGGGGCUCAUGACGGUACCGUAAGAAUAAGCACCGGCUAACUACGUGCCAGCCGCCGCAGUAA
This 498-nucleotide ribosomal RNA is filed under the name uncultured bacterium. RNAcentral describes it as "partial 16S ribosomal RNA". It matches the Rfam family "Bacterial small subunit ribosomal RNA", at positions 28 to 523 of the family's 1533-position model. The record is from RNAcentral.